UGUACAUGAUGUGGAACUGGCAUUUUGAUAGGCAUUUAUAUAUCUGUAGAUGACUUUGGAAAGUAUUGUCAUCUUAACAACAUUAAUCUUUCCAAUACAUUAACAUGUGUGAUGUGUGUGUGUGUGUGUGUGUGUGUUUGUGCCGCAGUCCGGCUGCAG
This 159-nucleotide small RNA is filed under the name Marmota monax (woodchuck). The record is from RNAcentral. Lineage: Eukaryota; Metazoa; Chordata; Mammalia; Rodentia; Sciuridae.